Non-coding RNA from Cricetulus griseus (Chinese hamster), 3622 nucleotides. The record is from RefSeq and is a predicted model, not a curated record. Lineage: Eukaryota; Metazoa; Chordata; Mammalia; Rodentia; Cricetidae.
CUCACAGAGAUCCAACUGCUUCUGCCUCCUGAGUGCUGGAAUUAAAGACUUGGCAGGCAUUUUUUUUGUUUUUGUUUUUUUUUAGUAAACAGGUAAAUGUGCUAAUUGUUUGCUUUACUUCUUCAACUCUCUGAGAAUGAAUGAAUUGGGUCAGAUUGGGUUGUGGACCGUAGAACGUCAGAGGAGACACUGACUUUAUUCAGUGGGUUCUGUGUCCAGAGGAUCACCCUCGGGUCAUAAAGCCUGGUGACAGGUACCUUUACCAGGUGAGCCAUUUUUGUCAGUCCUGCAGUAAAAAUAUCACCCAUAUGUUUUGUUAGUUUGAGAAAAUUAUCACAAAGGCAAUACAGUACUAGAUAAAACUAACAUACGGGGAUGUUGGUUGCACUCUGAAGAUCCUCACACACAAAACAUUUGUGAAUAUGUUUGAAGGAAACAUUGUGUCUCAGUGAAAUACAUCACACGUGGUGUAUCAACAAAUCUAAAUGGGUACAAAAUAGGAGCACUGGCUGUUUCUACCCCAUCUACCAGUAGUGACUUACUGUGCACGGAAAAACAACAGUUCCCAGCUUUGCUGCUUUCUUGCUUUUCUAUCCAUAUGGAAAUAAUUACCUUUUUGCUGUUUUUCUUAUCUACUGUUGCUAUGGUGUAAAAUACUGGACUAUAUCUUAUUUCCAAGGAAUGCCGAAAGUGGUCUGCUUAGCUGCUAGAAGGCACACCCCACUGGCUACAUUUUGUUAAAACUCAAAUAUACUUGAGAAAUAAUUAGAUCAUAAUUCUCACAAGGCAGAAUUCUUCAGCUCUGGACACAUCCAGGGACUUAACUUCCCAGAGGAGACCAGUGUUAAUGAAGACCUGUGGUUGCAUGAGCUGGGGGUGGGGGUGGAGAGUUGACUCAGGGAUCUUGCUGAAAGGAAUGCAUGAGAGAAGUCAGAAGCUGAAAUCACUUGAUAUUUGAGACAGGAGUUGAUGAGGUACACACAGGGCAAAGGUAUUUUAUUUGAAACCCAUGUAAUCAAAAGCAGGCACAUGUUAGAAGGAAAUUCCUAUAAGCACUCAGGACCCAGCCGUGUGUGUGAACAUUUUUUUCAAGUUCUCCAAGCUUGUUUUAAACAUUUACAUGGAAAAUAUUGUUUUCAAAAGAAUUUGUAAUGACUUUUUUUUUUAAAUAAAGAGUUGCAAUUUUAACAAAAAUUCACACUAGAGGCCACGUGUGGUGGCAUUUGCUUAUAGCCUCUGCUGUGAGGGAGGCUGAGGAAGGGGGACCAAUCGAGCCCAGGACUGAGGUCAACCCUGGCAAUAUGUUGAGAUGCUCCUGCCUCAACCAAACAGAACCAAACAAACACGAUCCAUGAGGAAGCUUAAGUCAAAGCUUUGGAAUCUAGGGUGGCACCAGAGAUGCACCAAACAGCGAGAAAACAGGCAGGAAGGAGCUCCCGGGUGGAAUAAGGACGCAUCUGAAAUGAAGUCUUGAAGCCAAGCAUGGUGGCCCACACCUGUAAUCCUGACUUAGAGUCUUCAGGACGCUCAGGGACUACGGUUAGGUGCUGGACGUAAGGGUAUGCCAUGGGUGCACAGGAGCCUGUGGAAACCAGAAGAGGGGAGGGGAUGCCCUGGAACUGAGGCUACCAACACAGGUGUACCAUGUGCAUGCCCAGUGUCCAGAGGUCGGAAGAGGGCACUGGAUCUUCUGGAAGAGCAGCAGGUUCUCUUAAGAGGAGAGCUGUACCUCCAUCUCUGGAUUCCUUCACUUCUCAAGUAAAUGGAGAACAUCUGAGAAUUGACCGCUAUGCUCUGAAAGGACCACACAGCAUCCCUCUUCAGAAAUUCCUGUCCACAUCUUCACAGGAUCAACAGCUAGUUAUGCCCGAUUCCCUGAGAACCCUAGAACAGUGACACCCCAAUCCUCCUGGUCUUUGAAGAUGAUAAAGGAAACUGCGAGUGGAAUUUGCUCUCACCCAUUCUCCACCACAGGAGAACACAUACACAAGUUAAACUUCUCUUGCUGGUCGCUGAUGCUGCUGCAGAGCGCUGUCAUUGUGGUCACAUGCCCCUUAUUUUCAAUGAGUAUACAGCCAACUUCAAUAAGCAACAACUCAUUUACCAAAACAUGUGAACAACCUCAGCACCGAAGCAGCUAAGUGGAAAACUGCCUUCACCACACACUUCCCAGGACGCACCAGUCACCAGGCUGCCUUCGGGUUUGGCAGAGAUGGUUGGGGAAAUCCCUCACUCUGCCUUGGAAACACAUCUGGGCUCCUGACUGCUGCUGUCAUCCAGAGGAAGACAGCAACACCCGGUACCAACUUUUCUCCUUAUAUAGAAAGACCAUCUAUCCAGGAACCUCCACCACUCUCCAGCCUCACAGGGAGGAGCCAGGGACACAGGCAGAGAGGGGAAGUUUUAAUUUCCUGUGACUCAAAGCUUUAGUCACAGACAGUGGCAUCUUUUCAGCAAAUGCUACACAAGCGAAGGCUCCUAUCACUUAUGGGAAAGCUCAGAGGGCAUUUGCUCAAGGUCCUGUGACUGUGACGUCUCCAGUGUGUGUGCCAGCAGAACAGGGUGGGGAGCCGCAAGUCAGAGUGGAAUCUUCCUCACACCUCUUUCCUAGAGAGUGGCCAUGUUCUACUCUUUCUAUCUGUUGUAUGGUGUAUGCAUGUGGAGAACAGAGGUUGAUGUCAGAUGUCCCUUGUCAUUGACACUUUUUGAGGCAAGGACUCUCAUGGAACUCUUAGUUAAUGGCCACUCUGGGGACCCUCUGGUUUCUGCUCCACCCACCCCCCCAACCUCCCUGUGCUGGGGUGCUGAUGUGGAUGCUGGGGAAUCCACUCAGGGCCUCAUGCUUUUGUGGCAAGCACUGAGUCGCCUCCCUAGCCUUCCUCACUUCUGGCGCCUCUUUUACUCCAGCCCGGCCCCAUACCCCAGCCUCUAUCUGGAGAGGAGCUCCUAAUCCGACCACAGCAUUCAACACACGCUGUUGGCUAGGCACACAAUGGAUCCUUAAGAGAUAAUGUUCUAGGGGCAACAGACCAAACACAAGAAAGGGACAAAUGACUUGUAAAUUAAGUACUCUUCUUUUGUCGGUGGCACUAGAAAUUGAAUCUAUGGCUUUGUGCAAGCUACUAUGAACUGUGUCACAGGUCCAAAGCACCUUCAAGAAAACAGACUAUAGUAAGGAAUAGAAGACUUGGGUAGACUAUCCCCAGUUGGUUCAUCAGCUGAUCCUGCAUCUUCUACACCCCGGCCCCAGUCCCCUUCUGUUCUCGUUUCUCUCAAGUCGGGUUUCAUCCAGCCUAGGGCGGCCUUCAGCUCCUGGUCCUCCUGCCUUCGCCUCCCGAGUGCUGGGAGCACAGGCUGUGCCAGCACGCUUGGAUCCUCCUGCUCUUGGUAUCACUUGCUGAGUGUUUUCCCAUUAAUGUGCCUUCUCUUUCCCCAUAGCUGUUUUUCAGCUCUAACACCAGUCUGAGGAAAACAUUUCUUCAUUCUCAAUCAGGAAUUUUCUCCCUCUUUUAAAUUCUUUAUCUUAAAAAAAGUUGUUUUCACAAGGUCUCACCAUGUAGCCCAGGGUGGCUUCAAACUUGAGAUCCCCUACCUCUGCUUCCCAAGCGCUGAGAACAUAUUC